GAACGGGUGAGUAACGCGUAGGUAACCUGCCUGAUAGCGGGGGAUAACUAUUGGAAACGAUAGCUAAUACCGCAUAACAGUAUUUACUGCAUGGUAGAUACUUAAAAGGAGCAAUUGCUUCACUAUCAGAUGGACAUGCGUUGUAUUAGCUAGUAGGUAGGGUAACGGCCUACCUAGGCUUCGAUACAUAGCCGACCUGAGAGGGUGAUCGGCCACACUGGGACUGAGACACGGCCCAGACUCCUACGGGAGGCAGCAGUAGGGAAUCUUCGGCAAUGGGGGCAACCCUGACCGAGCAACGCCGCGUGAGUGAAGAAGGUUUUCGGAUCGUAAAGCUCUGUUGUAAGAGAAGAACGUUAGUGGGAGUGGAAAAUCCAUUAAGCUUGACGGUAUCUUACCAGAAAGGGACCGCUAACUACGUGCCAGCAGCCGCGGUAAUACGUAGGUCCCGAGCGUUGUCCGGAUUUAUUGGGCGUAAAGCGAGCGCAGGUGGUUAGAUAAGUCUGAAGUAAAAGGCAGUGGCUCAACCAUUGUAUGCUUUGGAAACUGUUUAACUUGAGUGCAGAAGGGGAGAGUGGAAUUCCAUGUGUAGCGGUGAAAUGCGUAGAUAUAUGGAGGAACACCGGUGGCGAAAGCGGCUCUCUGGUCUGUAACUGACACUGAGGCUCGAAAGCGUGGGUAGCGAACAGGAUUAGAUACCCUGGUAGUCCACGCCGUAAACGAUGAGUGCUAGAUGUUAGGCCCUAUCCGGGGCUUAGUGUCGAAGCUAACGCGAUAAGCACUCCGCCUGGGGAGUACGGCCGCAAGGCUGAAACUCAAAGGAAUUGACGGGGGCCCGCACAAACGGUGGAGCAUGUGGUUUAAUUCGAAGCAACGCGAAGAACCUNACCAGGUCUUGACAUCCCCUCUGACCGUCCUAGAGAUAGGAUUUUCCUUCGGGACAGAGGAGACAGGUGGUGCAUGGUUGUCGUCAGCUCGUGUCGUGAGAUGUUGGGUUAAGUCCCGCAACGAGCGCAACCCCUGUUGUUAGUUGCCAUCAUUAAGUUGGGCACUCUAGCGAGACUGCCGGUAACAAACCGGAGGAAGGUGGGGAUGACGUCAAAUCAUGCCCCUUAUGACCUGGGCUACACACGUGCUACAAUGGUCGGUACAACGAGUCGCAAGUCGGUGACGACAAGCAAAUCUCUUAAAGCCGAUCUCAGUUCGGAUUGUAGGCUGCAACUCGCCUACAUGAAGUCGGAAUCGCUAGUAAUCGCGGAUCAGCACGCCGCGGUGAAUACGUUCCCGGGCCUUGUACACACCGCCCGUCACACCACGAGAGUUUGUAACACCCGA
This 1335-nucleotide ribosomal RNA is filed under the name Streptococcus entericus. RNAcentral describes it as "16S ribosomal RNA". It matches the Rfam family "Bacterial small subunit ribosomal RNA", at positions 100 to 1424 of the family's 1533-position model. The record is from RNAcentral. Lineage: Bacteria; Bacillati; Bacillota; Bacilli; Lactobacillales; Streptococcaceae.